RNAcentral lists this long non-coding RNA (550 nucleotides) under Pan troglodytes (chimpanzee). Its description in RNAcentral is "long non-coding RNA NONPTRT007038". The stretch from base 418 to 534 matches the Rfam family "Metazoan signal recognition particle RNA". Lineage: Eukaryota; Metazoa; Chordata; Mammalia; Primates; Hominidae. The record is from RNAcentral.
GGGGGGGGUCGGUGUGGGGUAGAAUGGCCGCUGCCGCCGUCACCCGCGGGACCCCGGGAGCACAGACUCCCCCUCCCCCCGGCCCCUCAGGCCGGGGGUGACCUUGCCCCCUGGAGCCCUCACCAUGAAUACCAAGGACACCACCGAGGUUGCUGAAAACAGCCACCACCUGAAGAUCUUUCUCCCCAAGAAGCUGCUGGAGUGUCUUCCUCGCUGCCCGCUGCUGCCUCCAGAGAGGCUACGGUGGAAUACAAAUGAGGUUUUCUAGGGAGGCUGGGGGUUGGGGCCCAGCAAGACCUAGUAGGCUGGAGGAGGGUGAGUGGGGGGUCUUUCCGUGUCUGUCAACACUCCUAAGUGCAGAGCACCAUUCUAAGAUCUUUGGGGAUCAUAGGAGAGGUAUAAAAAACAUGGAUCUUGGCCGGGCAUGGUGGCUCAUGCCUGUAAUCCCAGCACUUUGGGAGGCUGAGGCGGGUGGAUCAUCUGAGGUCAGGAGUUCAAGACCAGCCUGGCAAACAUGGUGGAACCCCGUCUCUACUAAAAAUACAAAAAG